AUUGAACGCUGGCGGCAUGCCUUACACAUGCGAGUCGAACGGCAGCACGGGUGCUUGCACCUGGUGGCGAGUGGCGAACGGGUGAGUAAUACAUCGGAACAUGUCCUGUAGUGGGGGAUAGCCCGGCGAAAGCCGGAUUAAUACCGCAUACGAUCUACGGAUGAAAGCGGGGGACCUUCGGGCCUCGCGCUAUAGGGUUGGCCGAUGGCUGAUUAGCUUGUUGGUGGGGUAAAGGCCUACCAAGGCGACGAUCAGUAGCUGGUCUGAGAGGACGACCAGCCACACUGGGACUGAGACACGGCCCAGACUCCUACGGGAGGCAGCAGUGGGGAAUUUUGGACAAUGGGCGAAAGCCUGAUCCAGCAAUGCCGCGUGUGUGAAGAAGGCCUUCGGGUUGUAAAGCACUUUUGUCCGGAAAGAAAUCCUUGGCCCUAAUACGGUCGGGGGAUGACGGUACCGGAAGAAUAAGCACCGGCUAACUACGUG
This 486-nucleotide ribosomal RNA is filed under the name uncultured bacterium. RNAcentral's name for it is "partial 16S ribosomal RNA". It matches the Rfam family "Bacterial small subunit ribosomal RNA", at positions 30 to 507 of the family's 1533-position model. The record is from RNAcentral.